GUUGCCGUGGAGCAGCGGCUAUCACGUAUACUUUCUGUGCAGAAGAACCCCAGUUCGAGCCUGGGCUGCAUCU
RNAcentral lists this transfer RNA (73 nucleotides) under Eumeta japonica. RNAcentral describes it as "tRNA-Arg". The record is from RNAcentral. Lineage: Eukaryota; Metazoa; Arthropoda; Insecta; Lepidoptera; Psychidae.